GAGAGCCCCGGCUCCGGCUCCGGGCCCGGCCCCGCUCUGCCCACGGAGGAGAAGCCGCGGCCCAGCCCGAGGCCCGUCCUGCCGCAGCUCGGGGGAUGCCCAGGACACCAGGCUGGACGUGGGUUCACCCUACCUGUUGCUCAUUUUCUGGCUGAUGAAUUGUAGGUCUCUGGUCAUGAGAGUUCACUGGGCAUAUCCUGGUAAGGGAAUUUUUAAAAAAUUUGGAUUUUUAAGAAAGAGUUUUCCUAAACUUACCCUGGGUCUGGCACCAACAGGCUGCCAGGAUGGGCUGAGAGCCUCCAUGGCAAGUGUGUGGGGACUAGUGAGAGCCCAUGGUGACCACGUGGGGAAAAAGAGGAGCCAAAAUCUCUGUGGCCACCAGCACUUUCCUUGCUGACCACUUGGCCCAAGGUCUCAAGCAUCUGGAUUUUUUUCUGUGUUUAACAUUUUUUUUUUGUGGGUUUGUUAACUCGUAAUGCCCAAGCCCGGGGAGAGGUCUGUCUCAUCCAGGAGAACAAAAACAGGGGAGGGGGGGUUACCUGUUAAAUGGCAAGGAGAUAAUAAAGGUGUUUCUGUUGUGUUUGGUUUUAGCUCAGACUGGCUCAUUACUCUGUGAAUCAGGAGUGGGGGUUAGAUGCAAAGCCCCACCCUCCAAAAGGCACGAGGAGCUGCCAGCAGGACCUUGUCUCCAGGGACCCUCAGCAGAAGCCCCUCACCACGGCUGAUCCCACCUCAUCUUCCUCCUCCUCUCCCUGCUCUGCCCGCAGAGCCUGGCCUGGAGCAUGAUGCGAUCCUGAUUUACAGCAGAGCCUGUCCAGGCUGCCCAGGGCUGCUGACCAGCACCGGGGGACACAGCCAGGCUGCAGAGGACACCGGGACGUGCCCACCCUGCCCACUGCACUGCGGGCCACUCGCCGGACACCUGACUGUGCUUUUUCACCCAUCCAUGGAUGCCACCUGGAUGUGUCCAUGAAGCAGAAGCUGGCAGCUCGCUCUUGGACCUUCAAAGCUGGCUCAGCAAGGUCUGCAGGGCCGUGUUUCAGUCACAGCCCUGUCAGUUCCCUUCCCUUCUCAAGGAUUAGGAUGAGGCAAAUACCUUCAGUCUGGUUUAAUCCUCAGUACCUGAUUCUGCAGGAGUCUGCUGGCACACACACAUCUCACUAAUAGCCAGGUAACUCGCAGGGCUAAAUCACUCCAGGCUUUUUUUCAUUACAACCUCCUUUUAAAGCACAUUUAAAUGCUUCCCCGCAGGCUCAUGUGGGGGCUGUUAAGGGCUUCAUUUGAAUAAAUAAGGGCAUAGGUAGAGGAGGAACA
Molecule: long non-coding RNA, 1314 nt
Filed under: Lonchura striata (white-rumped munia)
Lineage: Eukaryota; Metazoa; Chordata; Aves; Passeriformes; Estrildidae
Description: domestica (Bengalese finch) lncRNA (ENSLSDG00000016325.1)
Source: RNAcentral